UCCCAUUCUUCUCCCUUAAUCAGUUGUUCUUGGUUUCUGACUGAUCUCAUGGCCAGACCAAGCGACUACCAGAGUUGGAGAUUUCGGCAGUGUGGCUGCAAAAUUUUUGUAUAAGAAAGGUUAACUUCCUUAGCUCCUGGAUGUAUCGAAUCUUUCUUGAAUGUUAAUAAUGGGAGUUAUGCUCUCCUCAUUCUUUUUCCUCUGGUCAUUUCUUAUUGUCAUAUUUUCCUCUGGUCAUUUCUUAUUGCAAAUCUUAACGACGGGCUUAUGAUUUUUCUUUUUCAAAUUGACUCAGGCUGCCAUUACUGUGAGUGGCUUGUGCUUCUUGAUAAAUCGCUAGCUGAACUGGCUGCCAAAAAAUCUCGACUUCACACAUUUGUCAAGGACCAAGGUUGAAAGCUCGAGAAUAUUGUCAUGGAUUUUGCUACGGUGUGUGCUCGUGCGCGUCUCCCUUUGGAGGGAAACCUUCCUGACGCGAAGGAUAAGUCCUCCUCAACGAUAAUUCUUGACUAAAUUGGGAGUUGCACAUUCCUCUAGAACCAUCCUUCUGGCCAGAGAAAUUCUUCCCAGUCGGAGGAGUAGGUGUUUUUGUCAUAACCUUUUGAUUGAAUUGGGAUUUACCUCCUCCCUUUGGUUCCUUCCCUUAUGGCGGAGAGGAAGUACCUCUCAUAUUCAUUAAUCCCCUAUCAUUUAGACAACUUAGCGUUUUCUGGUGAAUCUUUCCUUUCCUCCCGUCCCUCUUAGUUUUUUGUUGCUGACAUAACCAUUUGAAGAUAAGCAGACAUCAUACUACCAUCUUUAAUUUUGGGGAUGAUAGGGAGGGUCGGCUGUGCUGGUUGAACAUUAAGUCGGUGCAAUUGAUUUGCCCCCCAAUGACCCAUAAUUCCUAUUCCAUUUUUGUUAAAUAUAUUUUCUCUUUUGCAUAUCCUUUUUCUAUAAAAACUCUACCCUUACUUUCAUUUUCUUUCAUUCCUCUCAAUUUUUUCCUUAUGCUUCCCUCCCUUUUGGAAACUUAUUUAUUUUGAGAUUAUAGUUCAUUGACGCUCGCCACUUCCGUUGCUUCCGACAAUGUCCAACUUUUCAAUAUGGAUGUUGCUGGGGUCAUCAUCCACAUCAGUGUGUUCGUUUUAUUAUGCUACAUGUGGCUCCUUUCCAUAAGGUUUGAAGACGCAAUGAGGAGAUCCGACGAAUCAUCUACCCUCGUCAUCAUGACAAGGAAAAGGUUACAGUAGCGUCAGGUCGCGUCCUGGCUACCUUUGAUGUUUUUAUUUUUGCCUUGUAAUUUCAUGUGUUUUUAAUGCUUUUCUCUAAGUUAUGGAUUGCACCAUACUUCUUCCUUUGAUCGUUUAAUAUAUUUUCAAGCUCAAAAAGGUUAAAUAAACCCUUUCUUUCUUGUUGCUGAUGGCAUGGAAGCCCCUUGCUUAUCGUCGUUGAUAUUUUUUGAUGAUUAGAGGAAGGAUGGCAUGAUUCUCCUCCAUUUCCUUUUCGGCCAACGGCCGUGCUAGCAGGAGAUCUGAUCCUUCGCUCACAUUUCUCGUUACCGUCCUGAAUCAUCUCCGGCCAGCCUUCCUUUUUCCAUCGCACUUUCCUCCCGGUGAUGUCCGAAUAUUCGGAUACUCGAUCGUGAAGCCGACAAGUCGCAUCCCACCAUUUUUAAACGGUUCAAACCUCCCCUUUCUUCAAAAAGAAGGGUUAUAUCCCUACUUUUCCUUAUUUUAUUCUUGUUUUGACACUUGACAGACUGUGGUGACUUGGUG
RNAcentral lists this long non-coding RNA (1757 nucleotides) under Linum usitatissimum (flax). Its description in RNAcentral is "long non-coding RNA (LUSI_LNC007453)". Lineage: Eukaryota; Viridiplantae; Streptophyta; Magnoliopsida; Malpighiales; Linaceae. The record is from RNAcentral.